AUACGUAGGGUGCAAGCGUUAAUCGGAAUUACUGGGCGUAAAGCGUGCGCAGGCGGUUUUGGAAGGCCGAGGGGAAAGCCCCGGGCUCAACCUGGGAACUGCCUUUGUGAAUGCAAGGCCAGAGUAAGGCCGAGGGGGAUGGAAUUUCGCGUGUAGCAGUGAAAUGCGUAGAUAUGCGGAGGAACACCGAUGGCGAAGGCAAUCCCCUGGGCCUGUACUGACGCUCAUGCACGAAAGCGUGGGGAGCAAACAGGAUUAGAUACCCUGGUAGUCCACGCCCUAAACGAUGUCAACUGGUUGUUGGGUCUUCAUUGACUCAGUAACGAAGCUAACGCGUGAAGUUGACCGCCUGGGGAGUACGGCCGCAAGGUUGAAACUCAAAUGAAUUGGCGGGG
RNAcentral lists this ribosomal RNA (395 nucleotides) under uncultured bacterium. Its description in RNAcentral is "partial 16S ribosomal RNA". It matches the Rfam family "Bacterial small subunit ribosomal RNA", at positions 523 to 918 of the family's 1533-position model. The record is from RNAcentral.